This 446-nucleotide ribosomal RNA is filed under the name uncultured soil bacterium. RNAcentral's name for it is "bacterial SSU rRNA". It matches the Rfam family "Bacterial small subunit ribosomal RNA", at positions 26 to 518 of the family's 1533-position model. The record is from RNAcentral.
AGAACGAACGCUGGCGGCAUGCCUAAUACAUGCAAGUCGAACGAAGGCUUCGGCCUUAGUGGCGCACGGGUGCGUAACGCGUGGGAAUCUGCCCCUUGGUUCGGAAUAACAGUUGGAAACGACUGCUAAUACCGGAUGAUGACGAAAGUCCAAAGAUUUAUCGCCAAGGGAUGAGCCCGCGUAGGAUUAGCUAGUUGGUGAGGUAAAGGCUCACCAAGGCGACGAUCCUUAGCUGGUCUGAGAGGAUGAUCAGCCACACUGGGACUGAGACACGGCCCAGACUCCUACGGGAGCAGCAGUAGGGAAUAUGGACAAUGGGCGAAAGCCUGAUCCAGCAAUGCCGCGUGAGUGAUGAAGGCCUUAGGUAGUAAAGCUCUUCUAACCGAGAUGAUAAUGACAGAUCGGGAAGAAGUAACGCCCGGACUAACUCCGUGCCAGCAGCCGAC